RNAcentral lists this ribosomal RNA (786 nucleotides) under Bacillus sp. Hotans2. RNAcentral's name for it is "bacterial SSU rRNA". It matches the Rfam family "Bacterial small subunit ribosomal RNA", at positions 56 to 825 of the family's 1533-position model. The record is from RNAcentral. Lineage: Bacteria; Bacillati; Bacillota; Bacilli; Caryophanales; Bacillaceae.
UGCAGUCGAGCGGACAGAUGGGAGCUUGCUCCCUGAUGUUAGCGGCGGACGGGUGAGUAACACGUGGGUAACCUGCCUGUAAGACUGGGAUAACUCCGGGAAACCGGGGCUAAUACCGGAUGCUUGUUUGAACCGCAUGGUUCAAACAUAAAAGGUGGCUUCGGCUACCACUUACAGAUGGACCCGCGGCGCAUUAGCUAGUUGGUGAGGUAAUGGCUCACCAAGGCAACGAUGCGUAGCCGACCUGAGAGGGUGAUCGGCCACACUGGGACUGAGACACGGCCCAGACUCCUACGGGAGGCAGCAGUAGGGAAUCUUCCGCAAUGGACGAAAGUCUGACGGAGCAACGCCGCGUGAGUGAUGAAGGUUUUCGGAUCGUAAAGCUCUGUUGUUAGGGAAGAACAAGUACCGUUCGAAUAGGGCGGUACCUUGACGGUACCUAACCAGAAAGCCACGGCUAACUACGUGCCAGCAGCCGCGGUAAUACGUAGGUGGCAAGCGUUGUCCGGAAUUAUUGGGCGUAAAGGGCUCGCAGGCGGUUCCUUAAGUCUGAUGUGAAAGCCCCCGGCUCAACCGGGGAGGGUCAUUGGAAACUGGGGAACUUGAGUGCAGAAGAGGAGAGUGGAAUUCCACGUGUAGCGGUGAAAUGCGUAGAGAUGUGGAGGAACACCAGUGGCGAAGGCGACUCUCUGGUCUGUAACUGACGCUGAGGAGCGAAAGCGUGGGGAGCGAACAGGAUUAGAUACCCUGGUAGUCCACGCCGUAAACGAUGAGUGCUAAGUGUUA